This is a long non-coding RNA of Hypanus sabinus (Atlantic stingray), 667 nucleotides long. RefSeq lists it as uncharacterized. The transcript is spliced from 4 exons. The record is from RefSeq and is a predicted model, not a curated record. NCBI's taxonomy places the organism in Eukaryota, Metazoa, Chordata, Chondrichthyes, Myliobatiformes, Dasyatidae.
AAAAAACCCUCGGCAGGAAAUUGGAUACAGGUAGAAUAUUUCUGGAGCAGAGGAUGGGAGUGGGAGCUAUUCUUAUAUUAAUUCAUAUAAAGUAGGAAGAUCAAACCACAUCACUCUUACUCAGAGUGUGGAGUUUGAAAACAAGCAUUCUGGAGCUGCUCCAAGGUCAUCUGCAGACUUCUACACUGAACGCUGUGCUGCAGUUACCAUGGAACAUUCUGUAGCAGUACUGGGAUGGGAAACAGUACACAGAGAUUCUCCUUAAAGCACACCGAGUAAUCAGAAGUUGGAAGAAAAUAAAUGAGCGGGCAGGGAAGAGAAAACACAUGCAUCAUUUUGACAUCUGAAGUCUGGUAUAAAGGUUGGAUACAGGCCAAAUUGAGGCAGCAGGAUCCAGUCCCCAUGCUGACUGAACCUGAUGUUUGGACGACGAUUUAGACACCGGACCAUUUUGAAAAGGUCGGGGUGCUGGGUCCCGAGGCGCGGGAUGGGCUGGUUCAGCACACUGCUCUGCAACGUUUAUUCAGCUCUGUGCUGAACUAAGGGUCUAUCAAUGGUUGUGGAUUUCAGUUCAGAAAGCUAUUUGCCUACCUUUAUUGUUUGCAUGAUUUGUUUACUCUGCACAUUGGGUGUUCAAUGGUCUUUAUUUUUAUGUUUUUUGGGUAUC